Molecule: long non-coding RNA, 194 nt
Filed under: Mustela putorius furo (domestic ferret)
Lineage: Eukaryota; Metazoa; Chordata; Mammalia; Carnivora; Mustelidae
Description: lncRNA (ENSMPUG00000029791.1)
Source: RNAcentral
UUUCCUUGCAGUUUUUCCAUUUGAGGUUCUCUCACUUGUUAAUUUUUGCUUGUGUUGCUUGUGAGGAUCACAAUUUGGUGGCAUGGAUUUUGUGAGGUUUCAUCUCAAAUUUCAUCUCCUCCUGAAAGCCUCCAAUUCCAUGCAGCUUUCGCCAAGAUGGAACUAAUUUUCUUCUAUUCAGAACUAUAACGUGG